GAGGCACUAGUAAAACCAUUACCCUGUCUUGUCAAGACAAAAUUGUGGGUGAGACCCCCACGUGCUUUA
This 69-nucleotide transfer RNA is filed under the name Setipinna tenuifilis (common hairfin anchovy). RNAcentral describes it as "tRNA-Asp". Lineage: Eukaryota; Metazoa; Chordata; Actinopteri; Clupeiformes; Engraulidae. The record is from RNAcentral.